RNAcentral lists this non-coding RNA (28 nucleotides) under Homo sapiens (human). The record is from RNAcentral. Lineage: Eukaryota; Metazoa; Chordata; Mammalia; Primates; Hominidae.
UAUGAGAAAACUGGGCCUGUUUCAAUGU